GUCAUAUGCUUGUCUCAAAGAUUAAGCCAUGCAUGUCUCAGUACAAGCCAAAUUAAGGUGAAACCGCGAAAGGCUCAUUAAAUCAGUUAUGGUUCCUUAGAUCGUACCCACAAUUACUUGGAUAACUGUGGUAAUUCUAGAGCUAAUACAUGCAAACAGAGCUCCGACCGGAGACGGAAGGAGUGCUUUUAUUAGAUCAAAACCAAUCGGUGGCGGGCUUGCUCGUCAUCGUACAACUUGGUGACUCUGAAUAACUUUACGCUGAUCGCACGGUCAUCGCACCGGCGACGCAUCUUUCAAAUGUCUGCCUUAUCAACUGUCGAUGGUAGGUUCUGCGCCUACCAUGGUUGUAACGGGUAACGGGGAAUCAGGGUUCGAUUCCGGAGAGGGAGCCUGAGAAACGGCUACCACAUCCAAGGAAGGCAGCAGGCGCGCAAAUUACCCACUCCCGGCACGGGGAGGUAGUGACGAAAAAUAACGAUACGGGACUCAUCCGAGGCCCCGUAAUCGGAAUGAGUACACUCUAAACCCUUUAACGAGGAUCAAUUGGAGGGCAAGUCUGGUGCCAGCAGCCGCGG
Molecule: ribosomal RNA, 578 nt
Filed under: Ouroporopterus squamiventris
Lineage: Eukaryota; Metazoa; Arthropoda; Insecta; Coleoptera; Curculionidae
Also listed under: 1 other name
Description: SSU rRNA
Rfam family: Eukaryotic small subunit ribosomal RNA
Source: RNAcentral